GAUGACCAGUAAGCUGCACUGUGCCAAUGUGUUCAUCUUUGCAUGGGACAAGUGUCAAAGGGUGUACUUGAGGACUCACAUCGCUCCCAACAUGCUUUGUGCCGGUGUCCCAAAAGACAACAAAGAUUCGUGCCAGGGUGCUCUGGGGGCCUUUGGUUUGUGAACACAAACUGCAAGGUGUGGUGUCCUGGGGCCCCCCACCUUGUGGCCAGAAGGGACAUCCAGGUGCCUACAGCAAUCUGUAUAAUGUGGCAGCAUGGAUUGAGAAACUGAGGCUCCUUGUGGAUUGGAUAGAUGGCUCCCAGGUCACACAAGCCCCAGUUAGAUCUGCUACCACACACAACCCACCCCAUCCUCAUUCUUUGUAUCCAUCCCAUCCAUGAUUGUUGAGGUUGGGGUACCUCAGUGAAGCUCCCAAGGCCUAUAAAGCAAGCCUGGGCUGGAGUGGGAGGGGAUCAACUUGUUAUCAGUGUGAAAAAUCAUGAGAUCCUGAAACUGACAUAAGAUAUCAUGAGAUCAUAGUAAAAAAAAAAUGAGGUAGGUUUAAAAAGUCCAAGGUGACUGAGAAGACAUCAACGUUGGCCCAAAUGUUAUAAGUGUGGUGGAAACUGGGUAAAACUCCCAAAAUACUGAGACUGAUGCAAGGAUGGAUUAUCUGAAAUUAAAAGACUGGAUAGGCCAACCACAUCCAAGUUGAGACAGGCCUACCAUGUACAAGCUGGGAUAGGCCAACCACAUCUGAGUUGAGGCAGGCUUACCACAUCCGAGUUGGGGCAAGCCAACCACAUCCAGUUUGGGUAGGCAUACCACGUCUACGUUAGGGCAGGCCAACCACAUCUGAGUUCGGGCAGGCUUACCAUGUCCAAGUUCAGGUAGCCCUAUCAUGUUCAAAUUGGGGCAGGCCAACCACAUCUGAGUUGGGACAGGCCCACCAUGUCCAAGUUUGGGGUAGGCCAGCAAUGUCCAAAUUAAAAGGUGGUGAGUUUGUCUCUGAAACAUUAGCAUCAGCAUGGUCAUUGUGAACUUAGGUAAGAAAAACCUGAAAAAGUUUGAAAUUGGCAUAAGAAAUCAGGAGAUCCAAGUGAAAAAUAAAUAUGAAGCAGCACUAGAAAUUCCAAGAUGGCCUCGGAAACUUCAGUACAGGCUUGAAUGACAUGAGAUGGGCUGCCUGGAUGGUUGAGGGCAAGAUAUUUUAUUGGACAGACUGCACUCUUAAUACUACCUUCCAAUAACUAAA
This is a long non-coding RNA of Alligator mississippiensis (American alligator), 1237 nucleotides long. RefSeq lists it as uncharacterized. NCBI's taxonomy places the organism in Eukaryota, Metazoa, Chordata, Crocodylia, Alligatoridae. The transcript is spliced from 2 exons. The record is from RefSeq and is a predicted model, not a curated record.